RNAcentral lists this ribosomal RNA (253 nucleotides) under uncultured bacterium. Its description in RNAcentral is "partial 16S ribosomal RNA". It matches the Rfam family "Bacterial small subunit ribosomal RNA", at positions 524 to 776 of the family's 1533-position model. The record is from RNAcentral.
CACGUAGGGCGCAAGCGUUGUCCGGAAUUAUUGGGCGUAAAGAGCUCGUAGGCGGUCUGUUGCGUCCGCUGUGAAAACCCGGGGCUUAACCCCUGGCUUGCAGUGGAUACGGACAGACUAGAGGUAGGUAGGGGAGAAUGGAAUUCCUGGUGUAGCGGUGAAAUGCGCAGAUAUCAGGAAGAACACCAAUGGCGAAGGCAGCUCUCUGGGACGGUACUGACGCUGAGACGCGAAAGCGUGGGGAGCGAACAGG